CUGUGAUUUGUUGAGUCAACUCACUGACAUUACAAAAAAUACAUUAUAUUGUAUUAGCUACAUCAGUUAGCAUAAUUUUAAUGAACAUUCUACAUCACCAUGGCAAUCCAGCAUCAGUUGACAGACCAUUCCAAAUUACCAUGGAAAUAAUUGCAUCACAAUACCAGACAGCCAUUGAGAGUGUACUCAUGAGUUUACCAGUCAAAUGAAUGCAGUAAAGAGGUCAAUGGAACACAGACAGUGGGGGAUAGAAUAAGGAUGCAGGAUUGGCGCACAUUCAACAAAUCUGAUAUAACAAAGUAGAUAUUCAUCAAAUCCGUCAUGAUUGAUGUAUUGUAAGUCGCUCUGGAUAAGAGCGUCUGCUAAAUGACUUAAAUGUAAUGUAAAUGUAAAUGUAAUGUAACAGGCCCACAAUAUGGUUACUAAAGUCCAAUUUGGAUAUAUUUGGCUGUUUUUCCUGCAUAACAUUUAGAAGUUGUUCCUUUUCCAGUUUAGAAGAAGUGACUCCUAAAUGCUAACUCCCGUUUGUGUAAGCUGGUAGCAUAGCUAGCAUACAGAAAUUGGUGGUGGCAGUCAAAGUCGUUUUUUAACUGCAAUGCUGUUGAUUGGUGACGAUGUCAAGAAAAUGCUUUGGGGUUGGCAUCUAUAGAAACAUUAUAUUCAGAUUUUUACCUCAACCUAGUGUGAAAUACACAUAUAAACAAUAGCCUAAAUGCAGGAAAAUUUUGCUAGGGGCCAAUGAGGAGAUUUGGGAUCUUUCCCCAACAGCAUAUUUCCCCCGUGUUUCCAUGGCAUUUCCAUUGUUUGGGUCAAGUUCCAUUGACCUCUUUACUGCAUCUUUUGCCAGGGUUAGAGCUUCCAUGCCCUCUCUAUUCAUUAUAUUUCUAUGGUGCUGCCUGCCUACCACAGCUUGAAGUUCCAGUGAGAUGGGUUAUUAUGAUGUAAGAGGUAGAGGAACAGACGACCUAUGAAAUGAUCUCUGUCUGCAUGCAUUAACAUUGUCAUAUUUUUCAAAGAAACGCACAGGCAAGCCAAGCUCCACCAAAGAAAAUAUUUGCAAGGCCGAAGACCUUAGGGACGUUGUUCUAAAGGUAAUACAAUCAGGCGACCUCUAACCCAAAAGACACCUGGUCUGUAUGUAACUGUAGAAGUUUGAAAUGAAUGAUGUCCUGUAGAUAUUGUCUCCUACUGCUGAUACUGGUGCACUCAAUCUAUCAGCCAACAACAAUAAAGCAAUGGACUGAUUUCAGUUAUAAAAGAUUUCAAUUUUUUGCACCUAGGGUUUACUGAGGGUUACUUAUUAUAAUCAAUCAUAAAGGUAUCUUAAAAUACAGUCGAAAUAAUUGUAACAUGUUAAAAUUGACUAAAAUGACCCGUCAUUAUACAAUAAGGCUUUUUGUCAAAUGACUUUUGCCUAAUUGAUAUAGAAGACAUAAGAACAAAAGAACAAUCAGGUAUAACAGUCUUUUUUUAUUGUCUAUUCCAAGCCAUUAAUGAACAUUCCUCACUGUUUGCACCACUAUAAAAGGCCAAAACUUUUCAUCCAUUAUUUUUUCGUAUAGUUAAGGAAAGGAUAUGUGAAAGUCUAAAUUAGAUCAUUAUUGAAUGCUAUUACAAAAAAACAUUUUUAAUAUUCAUCAGCCUCCCACACAAAGACAAGACUAUUCAUUCCAUUCAACAUUUCCAAUGUCACAUUUUUUGCUCUGUUGUCCAGUUUUGUUUCCGGUUUUCCUAUACUCAUCCCUCAAAUUUCGCUGGCUUUCAUCUCACCACAAAUACUGCAAACACAGGCUGCCCUUCUGCAAUGACAUAUGGGGCACAAAGACUCAGUGGGGCACACUGCAUCCAUGUCUCACAUCUCUUCCUACAUGUAUCUCACUCCCCCUCUCUACACUUGAGUGGUUGUAUUUCCUUUUGGUUAAUCGGAAACUCCUUUGCCACAACAGGCAUUUUUAUAUUUAUCUUCAGAAGCCUGUGUUGGAGGUUUUUUUUCGGAUCAUUAGGGACUUCACAUUUAUAUUAGCUUCAGACCAAGUCUACAGCCUGACUUAUUGCCUCACCGAUUGCCUCAGGAAUCUGGAUGUCGCCAGUCAGGUUCAAGUUCUUUUUUAAUUCGCAGUCACUUUGCACUUCAACGGCAUCCUCUGGCUUGUCAAUGCCGUUGACACAUUCCUUUUGCUGUGGCUCCGGGGCAGACACGGCAGCCGGCUCGGCUGCCUGCUCCUGACACUCCCCAUUGACCUCAGGGGCAGAAGGCUCAGCAGUAGCCUCCACUGCGGAAACAACUUCCUUGUUGUCCAGCACAGCCUCCUCUUGCUCAGCGCUGGCCUCCUCUGCAGCCGCAGGUGCAGCAGAUUCUGAAAUGAUGAUCUCCGGGAUGGGUUCUGCAAUGUCGGCAGCCUCAGGCUCUGCUGCUUCAGUUACUGCAUCAGCAGCUUCAGAUUCAAGCUCUGCUACGGAUUCUUCUAUAGGUAGGGGGAGCUCUUCAGCGGCUGGUUGUGGGAUGGAUUCUGCCUCUGGCUCUGCGGCUGCCUCUGUGGCUGACUCUGACACGGCUUCUGCAACUGAUGCAGGCUCCUCCUCCGGGGCGGAUGAAGCUGCUUCUGCCUCUACUGGUGCCUCGACCACAGCCUCAGGUUCUGGGGCCUUCCCUGUAACAGUCUCUGUUUCAGGCUCUGGAGCAGCAGGCUCUGGUUCUGUAGUGUCUGUAAUCUCUGCUGUCACCUCUGUGGCUUGUUCUGUAGCCUCAGAAGCCUUUUCUGGUACUGCAGCUAGCUCCACAGAGGCUACCUCAGGCUCUUCUGGUGCAGGCUCUUUUGGUGCUGCCUCAGGCUCUUCUGGUGCAGGCUCUUUUGGUGCAGCCGCUGGUUCCUCUAGUGCCGCUGGUUCUUCCGGUGCCUUUGUUUUAUCUGGUGCUGCCGCAGGUUCCUCUGGUGAUGCUGCUGGUUCCUCAGCUGCUGCAGGUUCUUCCGGUGCUGCCACGGGCUCUUCUGGAGCUGCAAGCUCUUCUGGAGCUGCGGCUGGUUCCUCUGCUACUGCUGCAGGUUCUUCCGGUGCUGCCACUGGCUCUUCUGAGGCUGAAGGUUCUUCUGGUGCUGCAGCUGGCGCUGGGUCCUCUGGUGCUGCAGCUGGUUCUCCUGAAGCCACUGGUUCUUCUGCUGCUGGCGCAGGUUCUUCCGGUGCCACCGCUGGCUUUUCUGGGGCUGCAGGUUCUUCUGGUGCUGCAGCUGACGCUGGGUCCUCUGGUGCUGCAGCUGGUUCUUCUGAAGCCACUGGUUCCUUUGCUGCUGGCGCUGGUUCUCCAGGUGCUGCCACGGGUUCAUCUGGUACAGCCGCUGGCUCUGCGGUGGCCCCCUUGGCCACUGCCUCUAUAGCUGACAGGGCCUCUUCUGUCGCUUCUGUGAUGGCUACCGCUGCCGACUCCACUGCUCCCUCCACUUCAGCAGACACCUUAGGAGCAGUCUUCGCUGCCAACUCAGCGACCGGAGCUGGUGCUUUGCUCUCCACGGCAUGGGCCACGGCCUCAACGGCACUCACAGCAGCCACAGUAAUCUCCUCCUUCUUGUCCUUUGGGUCGCUGACAUCGUACCCCUUCUUCCUCUUGCUCAGCUUGCCUCCCAUGGUGUCUCCUAAAAAUGAAUAAUAAAAUCAGAAUUACUUAACAAGUGUGAUAGGUUGUUGCGUUUGAAAAUAUAUGCAUAGCAUACAUCCGUUUCCUUUAACUACAAACCACAAACCUCAAUACCAAGUUAAAGCUGAAGAAAAUGCAAGGCAUUGCAAUCCU
This 3784-nucleotide long non-coding RNA is filed under the name Salmo salar (Atlantic salmon). RNAcentral describes it as "lncRNA (ENSSSAG00000109660.1)". The stretch from base 323 to 376 matches the Rfam family "UnaL2 LINE 3' element". The record is from RNAcentral. Lineage: Eukaryota; Metazoa; Chordata; Actinopteri; Salmoniformes; Salmonidae.